UACAGAGGCCCCGAGCAUUAUCCGGAAUCACUGGGCGUAAAGGGUGUGUAGGCGGCAGUAUUAGUCCUUCGUGAAAGAUCUUCGGCUUAACCGAGGAGGCGCGGGGGAAACGGUACUGCUAGAGGAUGCGAGAGGUAAAGGGAACUCAAGGUGUAGGGGUGAAAUCCGUUGAUAUCUUGGGGAACACUAAAUGCGAAGGCACUUUACUGGCGCACUCCUGACGCUGAAACACGAAAGCGUGGGUAGCGAACGGG
RNAcentral lists this unclassified non-coding RNA (254 nucleotides) under uncultured Parcubacteria group bacterium. RNAcentral describes it as "contains 16S-23S intergenic spacer region". It matches the Rfam family "Bacterial small subunit ribosomal RNA", at positions 524 to 776 of the family's 1533-position model. The record is from RNAcentral.